This 1805-nucleotide long non-coding RNA is filed under the name Daucus carota (carrot). Its description in RNAcentral is "long non-coding RNA (DCAR_LNC004523)". Lineage: Eukaryota; Viridiplantae; Streptophyta; Magnoliopsida; Apiales; Apiaceae. The record is from RNAcentral.
ACAACUUUGUGCGAGAAGACGACGGAGGAUUAGGUCGAGUCGACUUCUAUUUCCUUUCGAAACGUAUAAAAACAAGAUCUUAAGAACAAGCUUACCUUAAUCAGGAACGAGUUCCGUCGGUUGACAUGCUUCCAAUACAGUUAAAAAGAUGGACGGGAAGAAAAAAAUAUAUAGACUAACAUUUUGUACUAUGUAAACUUUGUAAUUUUAAUGAUCAUGUAAGCCAAUUUGUACGUUUGUGUAUAUAUAUAAGCUAUUUUUUAUUAUUUUUUUUAUGAACUGAUAAUGAAGUUGAACGACACCGCGGUAAAAAGUUGCAGUAAUCAAGUAAGGAGCAAUAUGAAUUUUUAACAUCAAUCAAAAUUCUCAAUUUUCUUCCAAGUAGUGUGCUACACAUGAUCUUCAUUAGAUAGAGGUUAUUCGAACUAAACGUAAAAACUGAACUUUACAAUAUUCGAUUUGUGUCACAUAUAAAGUUAUAUCAAAUUGUAGGUUCUUCUUUGGAAUCGUGAUCUAUUUAAAUAAGACUGUCUUUCAAAAAAUUGUAAAAUAAUUAGUUCUUUGGUUCUUAGUUCAAUAAGGGUACCAGUUAAAACAUGUGAAGCAGGUAACAGUGCAAAAUAUAUAGAAGGGAUAAAAAAUUAGACAAAUAUGAGUUUUUUUUUUAUGCAUAUACAAAUAUGAGUAAACUCAUAAAUUAUAUUAAAUCGGUAUUGUCAGAAAACAUGGGUUUUAUCUCGUUAUGUUGUAGGUUAAUUUUUUUUACAAACUUCUGGUGUUGUGUACGCCUUUGACAACACGUUUUAUUGUUUUAACAUGAAAAUAACGAGAAAACUAACGUUCGAUGUUACAGAAUCGUACAAUAUUAGAAAAGAAUAAUUAUAAAAUAAACUUUUUUGUACUUUUUGAAAAGUACUAAUUAUUCUCAUAAUUUUUACAAACAAAUCGUUGUUACGUGAAACAGUACUGCCUAUAUUAAUAAUAUUUAAAUAAAAUAAAAUUAUAUAUGUUAUUUAUAAUCAUAUUAUGUAUAUAGUUUUUCAACUUUUCAAAGAAAUAGUUAAUAAUUUUAUAUUAAGUUAAAGUUAGUUUAAUAUAUAAAUCCUAUAUUAUUGUUAUACCAAAUUUUCGUAAAUGAAUAUAUUAUUAAUAAUAGAUGUCUCUUAAUAUUUGUUAUUAUUAUACUUAUAUUUUAAUUUUUAUUUUUUAGUAUUUUUGUAACUCUUAAGUUAUUAAUAUCAUAUAAUUUUUUGUAAAACAAUAUUUUCGUCAUCAUAUAUCUCAAAUUUUAUUCAUACUUUCAAUAAAAAAUAUAUAUUUUUUAAAUAUAUAAAUUGUGCACAACAUAGUUUAUUACUCCCUCCGUCCCUCGGAAUAAUAUACAUAUGGAAUGGACACGGAGAUUAAGAAAAAUGUAUAAAGUAGUAUAAAGUAAUAUGAAAGAGAAGAGAAAGUGGUUAAAAUGGUGGGACCCAUCAAUAUUUAAGAGAGAGAUUUGAAAAAGUAGAUGAAAGUAGUUGGUGAGUGGGAUUUUUAUAUCAUAAAUGUANUAACGGAGAUGGAGUCAUUGAGGAGGACACUCACAACUUUGUGCGAGAAGACGACGGAGGAUUAGGUCGAGUCGACUUCUAUUUCCUUUCGAAACGUAUAAAAACAAGAUCUUAAGAACAAGCUUACCUUAAUCAGGAACGAGUUCCGUCGGUUGACAUGCUUCCAAUACAGUUAAAAAGAUGGACGGGAAGAAAAAAAUAUAUAGACUAACAUUUUGUACUAUGUAAACUUUGUAAUUUUAAUGAUCAUGUAAG